RNAcentral lists this long non-coding RNA (1110 nucleotides) under Equus caballus (horse). Its description in RNAcentral is "lncRNA (ENSECAG00000047619.1)". Lineage: Eukaryota; Metazoa; Chordata; Mammalia; Perissodactyla; Equidae. The record is from RNAcentral.
AAGAGAAACAAAUCUGCUGGGUCCCCCUCUGCAAUUAUGGAACUUCUUCAACUGGGGAACGGAAGCCCCAGGCACCCUGAGACGUGCUAGGAGGUGGCAAAAGCUGCGGACGUCACCUCGUAGUUAUUCCUGGACUUCAGUUUUACUUGAAGUGAUUUUUUUUUUCUUGGAAGAAGUUGAGUGAUUUAACUGACCUCCUGGAGGGCUCCUUCUCUCUGCCUCUGCAGGAACGCCGGAGAUGCCCAAGGUCCACACCGCUCCUCGGACCUCCCUGCUGCUGCCCUGCCCCCUGGGCCCAGCCACGCUCAGCUCCUCAUCAUUCUGAGCACACUCUUCACGCCCUCGCCACUUUGAAUAUGCUGUUCCCUCUGCUCGGAUCUAUGUUCCCCGCUUUGGCCACCUGGCAAACUGCUACUCAUUCUCAAAGACCCUGGGCCCUGCCUGCUCCUUGGGGUCUUCUCUGGUCCCCAGGCAGGGGCAGCCCCCUUGGGAACCUGCUGUGAGGACAGUCUGCCCGUCUGUCUCCCACUCUGGAUGAGUCCCUCACAGGUGGACCACGUGUUCCCGUCCACCCCCUCACCCACUUCAUGUUUCUUCAUAGCACACACAUUCUGCCUAAAGUGAUAGUGUAUAAUUAUUUGUUUAUAAGUCUUAUUUCUUCCCCCAAAAAUGUGAGUUCCAGUGGAGAAGGACCCUGUUUUGUUUUAACUUCCUAUACCCCUGUGCUUAGCACCAAGUUGGCCCGUAAUAAGUGUAUUCCUUUUCUGUAGCUGCUAUAAUACAUUGCCACAAACUUAGUGUCUAAACAGUCCAAAUGUAUUAUCUUACAGUUCUGGAGGUCAGAAAGCAAAACGGUUCUCACUGGGCUAAAAUCACAGUGUUGGCAGGGCUGCAUUCUUUUCUGGACAUUCCGGGGAGAGUCUAUUUCCUUACCUUUUCCAGCUUCUAAAGGCCUCCCACAUUCCUUGGCUCAUGGCCCCUUCCUCCAUCUCCAAAGGCAGAGAUGUGACAACUCUCUGACCAUUCUUCCAUAGCCACGUCUCCCUCUGACCAGAGCCAGGAAAGGUUUUCCACUUUGAAGGACCCAUGUGAUUAGACGGGAGCCACCUG